CGGGAAAAGCUCAAAUUUGAAAUCUGGCGUCUCCGGCGCCCGAGUUGUAUUCUGGAGAAGCGUUUUCCGUGCCGGACCGUGUACAAGUCCCUUGGAACAGGGCGUCAUAGAGGGUGAGAAUCCCGUCUUUGACACGGACCACCGGUGCUCUGCGAUGCGCUCUCGAA
RNAcentral lists this ribosomal RNA (167 nucleotides) under Trechispora sp. RNAcentral describes it as "partial large subunit ribosomal RNA". It matches the Rfam family "Eukaryotic large subunit ribosomal RNA", at positions 99 to 261 of the family's 3401-position model. Lineage: Eukaryota; Fungi; Basidiomycota; Agaricomycetes; Trechisporales; Hydnodontaceae. The record is from RNAcentral.